Molecule: microRNA precursor, 124 nt
Filed under: Hordeum vulgare
Lineage: Eukaryota; Viridiplantae; Streptophyta; Magnoliopsida; Poales; Poaceae
Description: microRNA MIR1122
Rfam family: MIR1120/MIR1122 microRNA precursor family
Source: RNAcentral
CUCAUACUCCCUCCGUCCGGAAAUACUUGUCCUAAAAAUAAAUGAAUCUAGACUUAUUUUAGUUGUAGAUAUAUCCAUUAUAUCCAUUUUUAGGACAAGUAUUUCCGGACGGAGGGAGUAUUGU